Molecule: long non-coding RNA, 200 nt
Organism: Rhinolophus ferrumequinum (greater horseshoe bat)
Lineage: Eukaryota; Metazoa; Chordata; Mammalia; Chiroptera; Rhinolophidae
Exons: 3
Source: RefSeq, a predicted model, not a curated record
GAAAAAUGUGCCUCUAAGCUACUGUUCUGUAAGUCCGGCUGCUGUUGCAUGUGGCUAUGGUCUGCCAUAAUGUUGCUGGAAUCUAAGAUUUUCAUGUCACCAACUCCAUCCUCUUGGGGCAUCUCUCUCUGGGUAUUAUCUUCCUCCAUCAGGAUAUUCUGCUGAAUCUCAAAGGCGAAAUUGAGAUUGGUGCCACCCUG